Cyanistes caeruleus (blue tit) is the source of this 1977-nucleotide long non-coding RNA. The record is from Ensembl. NCBI's taxonomy places the organism in Eukaryota, Metazoa, Chordata, Aves, Passeriformes, Paridae.
GGGAACGGGGAACGGGAAUGGGAACCGGGAAUGGGAACCGGGAAUGGGAACGGGAACCGGGAAUGGGAACGGGCCAGAGAACGGAAAUGGGACAGGGCCGGGAACGGGACCCGAACCGGGAACAGGGCAGGGAACGGGGCCUGCACCGGGGCCCCAGCCCAGGCCCCCAUCCCGGUCCAGACCCCAAGGCCCACCCCAGACCCCCCGGUCUGGCACCAAAUCCAGCCCCGGAGCCCCGGGCCGGCCCCUCCCGGUGCCUUCACCCCGUUCUGCCGGGCGACCCCUCGGGCAGGAGCUGCAGGAGCCCCCUAAAGCCCCUCGGGAGCAGAAACCUUCAUCAUCACCAUCAUCAUCAUCAUCCCCCGGAGCCUCCCGGGACAGGGAACAGCAGCAUUCACAGAGGAUUUCCAGCCACCACAGGACGCUCGCAGGGAGGUCAGGGCUGCCCGGGAUGGGAUGAUCUGCCCCGGGUGCAGGAGAACUGCCCGUGCCACCUUCCAGCCUCUGCAGCCUUUCCCUGGAAGCUUUCCUCCUGCCACAGAGGCCAGAGCUGUGAUUCCCGUCGGGACACGGAGCACCCAAGGCUCUCCAGCAGAGCUGUGGGGUCCGGCUGCUCUGCCAGGGGGUUGGGAAUAAAAAUAAACAGUCUUGGUCCUUUCCUGCGUGUGGCACAGAGGCAACGCAGAGCCACGGUGGCCUCGGAUUUGGGGACGGACAAAUCCCGUUCCCAAAGCUCGGCACAAACUUGCAGCUCCUGCUUUUUACCGACACUCCUCUCUUUCGCCCAAGGCUUCUCCCUGCUGUGUGUCCUUCCCUGCCUUGUCCCUCUUGUCAGGCUGAGUGUGGCCAGGGAUGCUCUGUUCCGGGACAGAACAGCGCUGACACACCCAAGCCCAGCAGAUGGGUGACCCCUGCCCGCCCCCGAGGGGGCACCUCUGGGGUCCUCCCACCUGGAGGGGCCACUGGAGCAGAAAAUGUCACUGGAGUCUCCUGUCGAGGUGGCCUCUCCCCCCUCAAGCCAAAGCAACUCCCCUUGAGCACUCUGAUGGAAAAGGAACCACAGAAGCCUCCGAAAUAGAGGAAGCUGAGUAAAUCCAACACUUGAGAGCAAAGCCAGGGCUGGUGCUUUCCGUUUCUGCUUUCCUCUUUUAGGACAAAGAGGAAUGGGUACAAACUGAAACGGAGGAAGUUAGAUUGGGUAAGAGGAAGAAAUCCUUCCCUGGGAGGGUGGCAGGCCCUGGCACAGGGGGCCUGGAGAAGCUGUGCCUGCCCCCAGGUGUGUCCAAGGCUGGAUGGGGCUUGGAGCAGCCAAGGGAAAUUGUCCCUGUGCAUGGCAGGGCUUGGAGCAGCCAAGGGAAAUUGUCCCUGUGCAUGGCAGGGCUUGGAGCAGCCAAGGGAAGGUGUCCCUGUGCAUGGCAGGGCUUGGAGCAGCCAAGGGAAGGUGUCCCUGUGCAUGGCAGGGCUUGGAAUGAGAUGGACUUUAAGGUCUCUUCCAACCCUUAACGUUCUGAGAUUCUGUUUUGGCACUUGGGAUGGAAGAUGCACACAAAGGUUGUGUUUCACUGAACGCUUUCUGUUCGACAAAGAAAAGAAUCCCUGGCAUUGAUUUGCUCCAGGCCAACAUAAAUAUCAGAGAUUGUGAAAAAGCCACGAAUGAGGGCCAAUGUUCACAUCAGCUAAUGUGGUCCUGGCACAUUUGUGGGAUUAGGCAAUGGAUUUGCUCUUCCUGCUCAUGGCUGGGAGGCUGCUGAGCAGGAUAUCACCAGGGAGCAGCUCCUUGGCAGAGCCACAGCGCAGGGACAGCCUCGGCAGGACGUGUGUGCCACCUCCCGCCCGGGCAAGGGCUGCUUCACACACUUCACUCCCCCAUAAAACAAGUGCAGGAAGGCAAACCCGGCUGCUGCAGCUCGGGAAGAACACAGCUUUCCCUAGGCUGGAUUUAAAAAAAAAAAAAUAAAAUAAUUAAAAGCAAAAUCA